AAACACCUUCUCAAAUAUCUCCCUUUCAAAAUUGUAGGAUUUAAAAAUCCAAUCUUGAAACUGAUAAGGUUUAAUAAGAAUUUCUUUUUGUUUUCUCUUUGCCUACAAUAACGUUAGCAUGAUUUAAUGACCACUUUGGGUCCUUUGCAGUGUUGUCUUCUCUUUUAAAAAGAGUGUUGGAAAAUUUAGGAGUUUCACUUGUCAUAGUACACAUACCACAAAAAUACUAACUCAAUACUUUGUAUAUCGGGUUUGUAUAAGGAAAGAACAUCACAUCGAUUUCAGAAAUGAAUUAAUUUUUAAGUAGAUGGCCGCUAAUAGAAUAUCUUCAUUAUUUGUUUUUAAAAUAAUUAUAUGGUAUCGUGUACAUGCAAAAUAUGGAUAAUCACAGCUUAUUUGUGCCAUGUGAAGCUUGUAAAGCAACUUAUUAUUUCCUAUGUAAGAUUUUAUCACUCCAUAGAUAAUUUAUAGUGUAUGUGCUGCUGGAGCAAGCACAAACGUUAUUGUCACUAGAAGCGGGUAACAAGUUUAAAAAUGGGACUUGCAUCAAACAUUUAUAGUUUAAAAACAUUUUUCUUAAAGUAUCAUCCGUUUUGUGCCUGAAAUAGAUAAGAACUUAAUCUAGAUACUGUUUUUUCUUAAUCUCCAACAUAUAAAAUAAAUUUUAUGAGGGAAAUAAUAAGUAUUUUUAAAUCAUCCAUAUUAUCCAAGAUGUAAAGAAAUCCAAACUCAGAAACUCUUAACCGUAAGUGAACUGUGUAACUGGUAUUUUUCUGAAUUAACCAAAUCAUUGACAAACUUCCAUGUCAUUCAAAUAAUAAUAUGUUCAUGGUUUGAUUGUGUUUGUGUGUUAUUUGUAUUUGUGGCACUUGAAUCACAAUGCUUAUUACUUGUACCUAAACUUAUAUCUACAAGUUCAGAAAAUGAUAGUAUUUCAGUGCAUCACUAAAUAUGUAGAAAUAAAAGAGAAAAUAACAGCAGAUGCAUUAUACACAUAGAAUAAUGAGUGAUUAGUUAU
RNAcentral lists this long non-coding RNA (1018 nucleotides) under Marmota monax (woodchuck). Lineage: Eukaryota; Metazoa; Chordata; Mammalia; Rodentia; Sciuridae. The record is from RNAcentral.